CAGCAUGAGAAAAUAGUAAAAAUCUCUCAAACUGCCAGUUUUAAAACAGAACAGACCAAAUCUUCCAGUUUUCCUGUAACUUUAGGAUAAACUUUUGGAGUUGUAGACCUAUGGGGUCUGGGACCUCUUUUGGGAAAAGACUUCUGUUGAUUUGAAGGAGAAAUCAUGGCUGGAUGAUGUCAAUUUAAUCUCGAAUGAAUGAAUAUCAUCUGUAAGGCCUCGUUUUGGGGGGUGCGUUUGUGGAUGCUAGGUGCUGGACAAUUAUCGGGAUCUUAAGCAACCGGGAUUCAACCCACGAGGGCAGUUUGUCGAAAGAACCCUGCGCAAAUUCCUGGAGAGAACCAUCAAAAUCGACGCAACGUACCGAUCCAUUCUGUUUCACUCGGAGUUCCCGCCCAUCAUGGUACUCUACUUUUAUCUCUCCAUUGGGUGUCUGAAACAAUAAAUAAAAAAUUAAUUUGAUGAGGA
Molecule: non-coding RNA, 468 nt
Organism: Bemisia tabaci
Lineage: Eukaryota; Metazoa; Arthropoda; Insecta; Hemiptera; Aleyrodidae
Source: RefSeq, a predicted model, not a curated record